Molecule: long non-coding RNA, 372 nt
Organism: Solanum stenotomum
Lineage: Eukaryota; Viridiplantae; Streptophyta; Magnoliopsida; Solanales; Solanaceae
Exons: 2
Source: RefSeq, a predicted model, not a curated record
AAAGAGAUCCCAACUUUCUUCUUGGCUUAGGAAACGAAGUUUAUGAACAAAACCUCUGUCGUCUGCUCUUUCAGCGACAUCCUCUUUGCGCGUGGUAAUAAUGACUCUGCUGCCAUUCUUGCCAUCCGGGAAUGCUCUUUUCAAACUCUCCCAUGCUUCUCUCUGCCAUACAUCAUCAACCACCACAAGGUAUUUGCGUUCUUUUAAUAGAUCACGAAGAUAAAUUUCUAGAUCUCCUUCUGUCAUCCUUUCCAACAAAUCUAGAGUUUCCUUGGUGCGACCUUGGACGGAUUUUAUGAUAUUCCUAAGAAGAUCCAUUGUGUUGUACUCUUGAGAGACACAUAUCCAAGCGCGUGUAGGGAAGCUUGAGAC